AUGAGCGACUGCAUGUGGUUGCGCGCGACGGAGUCCCCGACGAAGGCCAUGGACUUGCCGCGGACGAGGCGGAGGAAGGCCGCGGCGUCGAAGCGGGGGAGGUCGCAGCCGUGGGGUUGCCACCGCCACCGGAGGAUGGACUCGAUACCGGGCUUGCCGUACUUCAUGCAGUCCUGCCGAGCGUCGAUCAGCGGGCACGUCGCGUUGGUGUAG
Molecule: ribosomal RNA, 213 nt
Filed under: Triticum aestivum (bread wheat)
Lineage: Eukaryota; Viridiplantae; Streptophyta; Magnoliopsida; Poales; Poaceae
Description: partial small subunit ribosomal RNA
Source: RNAcentral